Molecule: ribosomal RNA, 1506 nt
Filed under: metagenome
Description: bacterial SSU rRNA
Rfam family: Bacterial small subunit ribosomal RNA
Source: RNAcentral
AGAGUUUGAUCCUGGCUCAGGACGAACGCUGGCGGCGUGCCUAAUACAUGCAAGUAGAACGCUGAAGAGAGGAGCUUGCUCUUCUUGGAUGAGUUGCGAACGGGUGAGUAACGCGUAGGUAACCUGCCUUGUAGCGGGGGAUAACUAUUGGAAACGAUAGCUAAUACCGCAUAACAAUGGAUGACCCAUGUCAUUUAUUUGAAAGGGGCAAAUGCUCCACUACAAGAUGGACCUGCGUUGUAUUAGCUAGUAGGUGAGGUAACGGCUCACCUAGGCGACGAUACAUAGCCGACCUGAGAGGGUGAUCGGCCACACUGGGACUGAGACACGGCCCAGACUCCUACGGGAGGCAGCAGUAGGGAAUCUUCGGCAAUGGGGGCAACCCUGACCGAGCAACGCCGCGUGAGUGAAGAAGGUUUUCGGAUCGUAAAGCUCUGUUGUAAGUCAAGAACGAGUGUGAGAGUGGAAAGUUCACACUGUGACGGUAGCUUACCAGAAAGGGACGGCUAACUACGUGCCAGCAGCCGCGGUAAUACGUAGGUCCCGAGCGUUGUCCGGAUUUAUUGGGCGUAAAGCGAGCGCAGGCGGUUUGAUAAGUCUGAAGUUAAAGGCUGUGGCUCAACCAUAGUUCGCUUUGGAAACUGUCAAACUUGAGUGCAGAAGGGGAGAGUGGAAUUCCAUGUGUAGCGGUGAAAUGCGUAGAUAUAUGGAGGAACACCGGUGGCGAAAGCGGCUCUCUGGUCUGUAACUGACGCUGAGGCUCGAAAGCGUGGGGAGCGAACAGGAUUAGAUGCCCUGGUAGUCCACGCCGUAAACGAUGAGUGCUAGGUGUUGGAUCCUUUCCGGGAUUCAGUGCCGCAGCUAACGCAUUAAGCACUCCGCCUGGGGAGUACGACCGCAAGGUUGAAACUCAAAGGAAUUGACGGGGGCCCGCACAAGCGGUGGAGCAUGUGGUUUAAUUCGAAGCAACGCGAAGAACCUUACCAGGUCUUGACAUCCCGAUGCUAUUUCUAGAGAUAGAAAGUUACUUCGGUACAUCGGUGACAGGUGGUGCAUGGUUGUCGUCAGCUCGUGUCGUGAGAUGUUGGGUUAAGUCCCGCAACGAGCGCAACCCCUAUUGUUAGUUGCCAUCAUUCAGUUGGGCACUCUAGCGAGACUGCCGGUAAUAAACCGGAGGAAGGUGGGGAUGACGUCAAAUCAUCAUGCCCCUUAUGACCUGGGCUACACACGUGCUACAAUGGUUGGUACAACGAGUUGCGAGUCGGUGACGGCAAGCUAAUCUCUUAAAGCCAAUCUCAGUUCGGAUUGUAGGCUGCAACUCGCCUACAUGAAGUCGGAAUCGCUAGUAAUCGCGGAUCAGCACGCCGCGGUGAAUACGUUCCCGGGCCUUGUACACACCGCCCGUCACACCACGAGAGUUUGUAACACCCGAAGUCGGUGAGGUAACCUUUUGGAGCCAGCCGCCUAAGGUGGGAUAGAUGAUUGGGGUGAAGUCGUAACAAGGUA